AUUUUGGACAAUGGGGGAAACCCUGAUCCAGCCAUCCCGCGUGUAUGAUGAAGGCCAUCGGGUGGUAAAGUACUUUGGGCAGAGAAGAAAAGGUACCUCCAAAGACGAGAUACUGCUGACGGUCUCCGCUGAAUAAGCACAGGCUAACUCCGUUCCUGGAGCCGCGGUAAUACGUAGGGUGCAAGCGUUAAUCUGAAUUACUGGGCGUAAAGCGUGUGUAGGCGGUUCGGAAAGAAAGAUGUGCAAGCCCAGGGCUCAACCUUGGAACUGCCUUUUUAACUGCCGAGCUAGAGUAUGUCAGAGGGGGGUAGAAUUCCACGUGUAGCAGUGAAAUGCGUAGAUAUGUGGAGGAAUACCGAUGGCGAAGGCAGCCCCCUGGGAUAAUACUGACGCUCAGACACGAAAGCGUGGGGAGCAAACAG
This 422-nucleotide ribosomal RNA is filed under the name uncultured bacterium. RNAcentral's name for it is "partial 16S ribosomal RNA". It matches the Rfam family "Bacterial small subunit ribosomal RNA", at positions 361 to 775 of the family's 1533-position model. The record is from RNAcentral.